CUGGGUGGGGCUGAGACUCCAUAAAAGCUUCAGCUGACCUCACUGGGAAGCUCUGGAGCUGGCCGGGCCCUGUGGCAUCAUCCUGAAUUGGAGAGAAGGGCCCAAGGCCUUGUACACUGGUGUUGACCAGGGAGGGAUGGGGACUGUCUCUGGAGAAGCAAAAGCACUCUUAGCAGAAUCUUUUUUUUUUUAAGUGUUGGCCGCAUGGUUGGCUUCUGGCUGUAUUCCCAGCAGCGGGAGAGUAAGUCCUACAUUUGUGCAGGGGCUUCUGGUGGCAUCACUUGGCAUCAUGGGUUAAGUUUAGAAGACAGACUCAUCUAGUCGAUGGUCUGUUCUUAAUUUGAGAAAAAUCAAUGUUUUGCAGCUAAGUGGAAUUUUAAGUCUGGUUUCAUUAAGUCAUUUCAUUUAACAGUGUCAUUCAGCCAUUCCCUGAAGAGGAAGACCUGCAGGCCCUCUGUAUGUGGGGCACUGGCAAAGACGUUUGAGUUAGGUGCGAUAUUCGAGCCAUGGGUCUUGUAAUGGGGAAGCGGAUGAUCACUUUUGGAGAAUUGGGAAAUGGGACCUUCAAGGUGAAAUGAACAGUAGCAAUCUUGGGGAUGAUAUGGUGAUUCUUUUUUCUUGUGUGGGAGCGAACCGGGGAUUGAACUCAGGGAUACUUAACCACUGAACCACAUCCCCAGUCCUAUGCUGUAUUUUCCUUAGAGACAGGGUCUUGCCAAGUUGCUUAGUGCCUUUCUUUUGCUGAGGCUGGUUUUGAACUCGCGAUCCUCCUGCCUCAGCCUCCCGAGCCACUGGGAUGACAGGCAUGCGCUACCAUGCCUGACAAGAUGGUGAUUCUUCAUCCCAAGACUAAGAACACCUGACUCAUACAACUGAAAUACAUACAAAAGAAUACUCAAUUUAGUCUCAAAGCUGAUUCCUUUAUACAUUUAUUAAAUGUUAUCAGUAAGAAUUGUGGCUCAAUUUCCUUUCUUAUUUUUUAUUUGUUCUUUUUAGAUACACAAGACAGAAGAGUGUAUUUUUGACAUCAUAUACCUACAAAGAGUCUACCUUUCCAUUCUUGUGGUUAUACAUGAUGUAGACUUUCACUUGUCAUAUAUUCAUGUAUGAACAUAGGAAAGUGAUGUCCCAUUCCUUCUACUGUCUUUCCUGUUCCCAUCCCCUCUUUAACCCCUGGCCAAUCCAGUGAACCUUAACCCCCCCAUUUGUGUUGGCAUCUGCAUAUCAGAAAGAGUAUUCAGCCUUUACUUUUUUGGGAUUGGCUUAUUUCACUUAGCAUAAUGGUCUCCAGUUCCAUUCAUUUACUUGCAAAUGCCAUAAUUGCAUUCUUUUUUAUGGCUGAGUAAUAUUCCAUUGUGUAUAUAGACCACAUUUUCUUUAUCCAUUCAUCUGUUGAAGGGCACCUAGGUUGGUUCCAUGGCUUGGCUAUUGUGAGUUGAGCUGUUAUAAACAUGGAUGUGGCUGCAUCACUAUAAUAUAACUGGGUCAAAUGAUGGUUCCAUUCCAAGUUUUACAAAGCAGAACUUUAUACUGGUAUGUGGAGGGUUGUGGACUAAGUUCAAGAUUAUGCAAAAGUAUUUGUGGUAUUCAAAUGAUGGCAAGAAAGAUCUCAUUUGGAACAUAUCAAAUGCUGAAAUAAUUGCUUCUGUGUGAUGUCUCUGAACAUUCAUGUAUGACACAUGCUCAUGGGGGAUUUUGGAGUUUUUAGGAAACACUAGUUAUCAAGUGUGGUUUCCUCCAAUGAGGCAAUUCUGUACCAGUGACCAAUUAUUUCCUUCACUCCUCCAUUCACUGGUUCAUUCUUUCACUCAAUGCAAGGUUGUGUGUCAUCCAUCUCUAGUCAGCACCAUUCAUAUCUCUGCCUACGUGGAUGGUGCCCCUGGAGUUGGGCAGUGCCCUUCCCAACCAUGUUCAUUGGCUCUCAUUCAACAACAUUUGCAGGAGGAGCAAGUUCUAGGCAUUGUGUUAGGUGUGGAGAAAAGAACAAAAAGUGAGACAUACUUCAUGCUGUCGUGGACCUCUAUUUUCAAUGAAAUCAGAAGGAGAGAAGAGGGAGGAAGGGAAGAAAGAAGAGGAGGA
Molecule: long non-coding RNA, 2079 nt
Filed under: Marmota monax (woodchuck)
Lineage: Eukaryota; Metazoa; Chordata; Mammalia; Rodentia; Sciuridae
Source: RNAcentral